AUACGGCCAUAUCACGUUGAAACAUUAGUUCUCAUAUGAUUUACGAAGUUAAGCAACGUUAAGCCUGGUCAGUACCUAGAUGGGUGACCGCUUGGGAAUACCAGGCGCUGUCAG
Molecule: non-coding RNA, 114 nt
Organism: Acanthosepion pharaonis
Lineage: Eukaryota; Metazoa; Mollusca; Cephalopoda; Sepiida; Sepiidae
Source: the annotation of a GenBank genome assembly